RNAcentral lists this unclassified non-coding RNA (386 nucleotides) under uncultured bacterium. RNAcentral's name for it is "contains 16S-23S intergenic spacer region". The record is from RNAcentral.
UCCUGGUUUCCCAGGCAGUCCCAUCAGAGUGCCUUCUUCACAGAAGUUGCAACUGAUGGCAAGGGUUGCGCUCGUUAAAGGACUUAACCCAACAUCUCACGACACGAGCUGACGACAGCCAUGCAGCACCUGUGUAUCUGUCUAGGCUUACGCCUAGAAAACUGUAUUUCUACAGCGGUCACAUACAUGUCAAGCCCAGGUAAGGUUUCUCGCGUAGUAUCGAAUUAAACCACAUGUUCCACCGCUUGUGCGGACCCCCGUCAAUUCCUUUGAGUUUUAAUCUUGCGACCGUACUCCCCAGGCGGAUCACUUAACGCGUUAGCAACGACACUGAUCUCGCAGAGCGAGACCAACGUCUAGUGAUCAUCGUUUACGGCGUGGACUAC